RNAcentral lists this long non-coding RNA (523 nucleotides) under Mus spicilegus (steppe mouse). Its description in RNAcentral is "lncRNA (ENSMSIG00000031093.1)". The record is from RNAcentral. Lineage: Eukaryota; Metazoa; Chordata; Mammalia; Rodentia; Muridae.
AUGUAUGUAUGUAUGUAUGUAUGUAUGUAUGUAUAUAUGUAUAUAUGUAUAUAUGUGUGUGUGUGUGUGUGUGUGUGUGUAUGUGGGGGAGGGGGUUGGGAGUCUGAGGCCAACUUUCAGAAGUCUGUUCUCUUUUUCAACAGUGUAAUUCCUGUGAGUAAACUCAGAUCACCUGGACUGUGUCGCAAGGACCGUUAUCCAUCUGCCAUCUCACUGGCUGCAGAAACCUACGUUGGAUGCUCAUUAAUCCAAGACAAAGGGAUGAGGGAGACUCUCAGACAUGACUGUGUCCUUGGCCCUGGAAAGAAAAUUGUCAGCAGUGCCGCACUAAGGAUGCUAAGGCAAAGAGAAGACUCUCAAAUACAAGAGGCAUAGACAACAUCCUCAGAAACAGAUGGAGGGAAACAUGCAAGGCUGGAAUGCCUGCAGAUCUGCUUCCAGAGGGGUCUGCUUCACUGUAUCUGUAUAACCUGCUCUCAAAUGAAUUCCUAUCUCAAAACCAGAAAUGGUCACUUAAAUUGAG